Fukomys damarensis (Damara mole-rat) is the source of this 106-nucleotide small nuclear RNA. The record is from Ensembl. Lineage: Eukaryota; Metazoa; Chordata; Mammalia; Rodentia; Bathyergidae.
GUGCUCGCUUCGGCGCACAUAUACUAAAAUUGGAACGAGACAGAGAAGAUUAGCAUGGCCCCUGCGCAAGGGUGACACACAAAUGGGUGCAGCGUUCCGUAUUUUU